RNAcentral lists this transfer RNA (74 nucleotides) under Bacteroidota bacterium. RNAcentral's name for it is "Bacteroidetes bacterium tRNA-Met". It matches the Rfam family "tRNA". From Rfam's summary of the family: Transfer RNA (tRNA) molecules are approximately 80 nucleotides in length. The record is from RNAcentral. Lineage: Bacteria; Pseudomonadati; Bacteroidota.
UGGCCUUUAGCUUAUGCGGUAGAAGCACUUCACUCAUAAUGAAGAGAUAGAUGGUUCGAAUCCAUCAAGGCCAA